UUAAAUUAAUGAAUUAAUAAAUUUUUAAUAAAAAUAAUUAUAAAUUGGAGAUUAAGUAUAUUUUAUGGAAAAAUUUAAAUAAUUUAUAAGGUAUUAGUACUGUGAAGGAAAUUUGAAAUAUUUUGAAAUUUUAUUUUAAAGAAGUAUUAUUGAUUUGAGUACCUUGUGUAUCAGGGUUCAUUAAAAAUUUUAUAUAAAUAUAUAAAUCCCGAAAUAAAAUGAGUUAUUAUAUUAAAGUGGUUAAUGUUGAAUAAUUAUUAUAAAUAAUAUAAUGGAGGUGAAAUUCCAAGCGAAUUUUAUGAUAUCUGGUUUUUCAAGAAUUGAAUUGAAUUCAGUUAUAUUAAAGGUUAUUGAUUUUUUUGUUGAUAAUUAUUAAUGUAUUUAAUAAUAUUGGGGAUAAGCUCUAUAUUAAAUUUAUAUAAGAUGAUUAUGAUAUUGAAUUUUAUGAUUUGUAUUAUUAAUAAAUUAGAGAUUGUAAUAAAUCAUAAAAUAUGUAAUUAAAUUAAUUUUGAAUUAAAAGUUUUAUUGAAAUAUUGUUAAUAAUUGUUUAUAACAAGAAAUAAUGAUGGAAUUAGUAUAAUAUAUAUAUAUAAAUAAAUAAAUAUUGGUGAAAUAAUUAAUUUUAAGGAAUUAGGCAAAAAUAGUUUCCGCAUGUUUAUCAAAAACAUGUCUUUAAGAUUAAAAUUUAAAGUCUGGCCUGCUCUAUGAUGGAAUUAAAUGGCCGCGGUAAUUUGACCGUGCAAAGGUAGCAUAAUCAUUUGUCUUUUAAAUGAGGUCUGGAAUGAAAGGUUUGACGAGAGACUAACUGUCUCAGAAUUAAUUUUAGAAUUUAAAAUUUUAGUAAGAAUGCUGAAAUGAGUUUAUGGGACGAGAAGACCCUAUAGAGUUUUAUAAAUUAAAAGUUAUCGUUAGUUAUUAAGUAAUUGUUAAUUUAUUUUGUUGGGAGGACAUGAAGAUAUUAUAGCUCUUUAUUGUAAAUAUCAUUAAUUUAUGUUUAAUUGAUCCAGUAUUAUUGAUUAUAAGAUUAAACUACCUUAGGGAUAACAGCGUAAUUUCGUUAAAAAGUUCAUAUUUACAAUGGAGAUUGCGACCUCGAUGUUGGAUUAAGGAUUACUAAUAAAUGCAGAAGUUUAGUUAAGUGAGUCUGUUCGACUUUUAAAUCCUUACAUGAUCUGAGUUCAAACCGGCGUGAGCCAGGUUGGUUUCUAUCUAUAAAAAUUUAUUAUGUUUUAGUACGAAAGGACCAAACAUUAAAAUUAGAUUUAAUAAGUUGAAUAAAAUUAAAUA
Molecule: ribosomal RNA, 1287 nt
Filed under: Comicus campestris
Lineage: Eukaryota; Metazoa; Arthropoda; Insecta; Orthoptera; Schizodactylidae
Description: 16S ribosomal RNA
Rfam family: Archaeal large subunit ribosomal RNA (bases 604-1287)
Source: RNAcentral